GAGAUUAGAGUCAAAAUUCUAAAAAACAAACAAAAGUCUGAAUACAUUUUUUUUUUUGUAGCUGUGGUACUUCAGCUCUGAUUUGUUCUAUUUCUAGACUUUUGUUCCAUCACAUUUUUAUUUGAGACUCUGGAUAUUUAAAAUUACUCUGGUUUUUGGAGAGUUGCUAUGAUACGCAACCAUGGCAACAAAGGUCAAAUAAUACCAGCGCUGUGGCCCAAAAUCCCACAGGAGUUGAAAUAGAGGCUUCAUGGAUGGAGCAGACAGAGAAGGAGAAAGUUUAAACUAUCUUUACCAUUCAUCAUAAUGGGGGGUAAUAAUAUCCCCACCUCUAGUGCCUUCCUACCAGACAGAGAUUUAAAGAGAAGCAGCAAAGCAAAUGAAGUGGAUUAGCAGUUUUUUGUUAUCCCAGAAAUUGAGCUGCUAGCAGCUAGCACGUCAGAAUACAGCAAGUCUUCAGUCAGAAGCUUCUUCAGACUGACUGCUACUGGAGAGCCAUCCUGCCCACAGCAUUAUCAUCCAAAAUGGCUGAAGAUACGUGAGUGAAAGAAGCUAAGAAAGCUAGCUGCAAUGUUACAAACUUACCUUGUUGCUUUGUGGCAGCUAGCGGCUAAAUGAGUGGAAGCUGCCUACAUGAAGUCUCACCAUAGAGACGGAGCUGGCCGCCACCUUGUAACCCAUAGCAACGCCAUCAGCUGCAGUGGGCGGAGCCGCCGGCGUUGAAGCUUCUGAUUGGCCGAUAACAGGUGUCCUGACAUUCCAUAUAAGGAAGGUGGCGGAAGCAUCGUUCAUUUUUAAAUAUGUCAGGAAUGAACACGCUGGAUAACCCUGCAACAUGUUUAAGUGAGACUGAUUGUGAUCAUUUCAGUGUAACUGACAGGAUGGGACAACAGAGAGCCGUGCAGAUCAUCUCCCACCAGAGUGCACUGCUUCCCUGUAAGUUAAAGGUUGAUUUCUGUGUAUGGUUUCAAAUUUCCAUUCAUGUAACGUUAUCCAGCUCUGGCCACAAGCUGCUACACACCCAGAUAUACGCUCACGUUGACAGCAUCCACCGUUUUCUCAAAAUAUGUAAACAAACAGAUGAAUAUUAAUUAAUUAGAACAUUAUAUAUUAUUCCAGUAAUUCAGUUUAUAUAGUUGAACUAAUAAUUAGUCAUAUUUUCAAACUUUUAGUCAAUUUUGAUGAUUAUGGCUUACACCUAAUUAAGACGCAAAAUUCAGUAACAGUUUUCCUUCUACUAGACUUUCCAUUAUUAGGCUUGCAUAAAAUACUGUAUAAGGAGACAUAGUCUUCAUGAAUUAACAUUUUGCAGAUUUCAUUAGAAAUGUGUGAAAAACUGUCAUUUCGCUAAUGUAGAAAAAACUAUUUUUUAAUUGUGGUGUUUUUGUUAAAUAAGAAACACUUUUAAAAUCGGAUGUGAAUAAGUUUGUUUGCGUAAAAAAAGAUUGUUUUCAUUUCAGUUUUGCAAACUAAACCAAUUUUUAUACGGCCAAAAAACACCGCACUUCAUAUUAGUGGCAAAACUUUUUAACUAAAGACAAGUUUUUUCAAAAAUGAAUUUUUCCAUUAAGUGAAUUUAUUGAAAAAUGUCAAAUUGUGCCAUUUUGUGGUCGAAAAUAAUCCAAAAUUAUUCAUCAGUCGAACACUAAAUAGAAAAACAGAGUCCACCUCUUUCAAAAAUUAUAUUUUUUUUACUAAAUGUUGAGGCAUGGAAUUCAUUCAGGCUGCUGCAGAGCGAGAGAAAGCAAGACUUCAAUUAACGUAAAGGAUACAUUUAUCACCACAAAGUUGUUUAUUUUUGUCCUUUAAAGCUUUUAAACUCCUUCUGUUAUGGAUUAUGCUGGAUUUUAAAGUAUUGGCACCUUUUUGGGAUGAAUUCUUAUUCUCACCUGCUAAUUUUGUUAUGUUAGCUAUGCUAACCGCUGAUGCUAAAUACUCCAUGAUGGUUAUAAUUGUAUUUUAGAACAGCAAAACUCUAUUUUACAGAGACUUAUGUCUCUCACACAGUGUGACAUCACCAUAAUUAACAGAAAUCAGGUGAAAAAGCUAAAAAAUGAUUACAAAACUAACAUUUAACCAAUUGGACCAGAAAUCGUCCAAUAUCUUUAACAAAAAACCAAAACCAAGCCACUCAGGUCAUGUUUAUUGACAAAAUGUUUAUCAAUGUUUUCAAUGUAGCAGGAAAAAAUUAAAGCAAAUGCAUCAUUACAAGAACUUCUCUCAGACCAGUCUUAUGGAGGAAAAUCUCUCUCCACACUUUCCUUUUCCUUCAGCAAGAUUUAUUUUCCCGCUUUUGAAACAUUUUCACGUCAAGCUUGAUUCCCAGUGUGUGCGUUCACAAUCGCUUCUUAGACAGCAGGAAACAAACACGGUUCAAAACAAAAAACAGAAAAGAAUACAAAAUGUAAGGUUUAACUGUAGCAGGAACAAAUACAAGCACCAGCACAAGGGGGCAGCAAACAAAAACAAAACAGGAAGUUAAAAAACAAAACAGGAAGUUACAAGGUUUUCAAUGCAGAGGCAUGCUGAGCUGUUUUGUUGAAUUGUUUCGAUGAGGGAACGGGGAACGUUCUUGAUUUGUUUCUGUUCAACAAGUGCAAAAAAAAAAAAAAAAAAGAGUAAAAAUCACAAUUUCCAUUUAUUUCCUCCUGAAAUAAAAACAUCUGCUAAUGGUGCCGGUUAAACCCAUCAACAAAUUAUAAUACUUUUAUGAUGAUUAUGACUUACAGCCCAUGGAAACAUAAAAUUCAGCUCCUCAGAAAUUUAGAAUAAGACCAAUAAAUCAUUUUAGAAAGAGAAAUAGAAUCAAUUCUCUUUGAAACAAACAUUGAUGGAAAGUUUAAUGGAAGGAAAAAACUUGGAGUGAACUGUUAGAA
Xiphophorus couchianus (Monterrey platyfish) is the source of this 2876-nucleotide long non-coding RNA. RefSeq lists it as uncharacterized. Lineage: Eukaryota; Metazoa; Chordata; Actinopteri; Cyprinodontiformes; Poeciliidae. The transcript has 3 exons. The record is from RefSeq and is a predicted model, not a curated record.